GAAGGUCACGGCGAGACGAGCCGUUUAUCAUUACGAUAGGUGUCAAGUGGAAGUGCAGUGAUGUAUGCAGCUGAGGCAUCCUAACAGACCGGUAGACUUGAACCUUGUUCCUACAUGACCCGAUCAAUUCGAUCGGGCACUCGCCAUCUAUUUUCAUUGUUCAACUCUUUGACAACAUGAAAAACCAAAAGCUCUGCCCUCCCUCUAUCUAUCCAAGGGAUGGAAGGGCAG
Molecule: ribosomal RNA, 231 nt
Filed under: Lactuca tatarica
Lineage: Eukaryota; Viridiplantae; Streptophyta; Magnoliopsida; Asterales; Asteraceae
Description: 4.5S ribosomal RNA
Source: RNAcentral